GAACGCUGGCGGCGUGCCUAAUACAUGCAAGUCGAACGCUUCUUUUUCCACCGGAGCUUGCUCCACCGGAAAAAGAGGAGUGGCGAACGGGUGAGUAACACGUGGGUAACCUGCCCAUCAGAAGGGGAUAACACUUGGAAACAGGUGCUAAUACCGUAUAACAAUCGAAACCGCAUGGUUUUGAUUUGAAAGGCGCUUUCGGGUGUCGCUGAUGGAUGGACCCGCGGUGCAUUAGCUAGUUGGUGAGGUAACGGCUCACCAAGGCGACGAUGCAUAGCCGACCUGAGAGGGUGAUCGGCCACAUUGGGACUGAGACACGGCCCAAACUCCUACGGGAGGCAGCAGUAGGGAAUCUUCGGCAAUGGACGAAAGUCUGACCGAGCAACGCCGCGUGAGUGAAGAAGGUUUUCGGAUCGUAAAACUCUGUUGUUAGAGAAGAACAAGGAUGAGAGUAACUGUUCAUCCCUUGACGGUAUCUAACCAGAAAGCCACGGCUAACUACGUGCCAGCAGCCGCGGUAAUACGUAGGUGGCAAGCGUUGUCCGGAUUUAUUGGGCGUAAAGCGAGCGCAGGCGGUUUCUUAAGUCUGAUGUGAAAGCCCCCGGCUCAACCGGGGAGGGUCAUUGGAAACUGGGAGACUUGAGUGCAGAAGAGGAGAGUGGAAUUCCAUGUGUAGCGGUGAAAUGCGUAGAUAUAUGGAGGAACACCAGUGGCGAAGGCGGCUCUCUGGUCUGUAACUGACGCUGAGGCUCGAAAGCGUGGGGAGCAAACAGGAUUAGAUACCCUGGUAGUCCACGCCGUAAACGAUGAGUGCUAAGUGUUGGAGGGUUUCCGCCCUUCAGUGCUGCAGCUAACGCAUUAAGCACUCCGCCUGGGGAGUACGACCGCAAGGUUGAAACUCAAAGGAAUUGACGGGGGCCCGCACAAGCGGUGGAGCAUGUGGUUUAAUUCGAAGCAACGCGAAGAACCUUACCAGGUCUUGACAUCCUUUGACCACUCUAGAGAUAGAGCUUCCCCUUCGGGGGCAAAGUGACAGGUGGUGCAUGGUUGUCGUCAGCUCGUGUCGUGAGAUGUUGGG
RNAcentral lists this ribosomal RNA (1078 nucleotides) under Enterococcus hirae. RNAcentral's name for it is "bacterial SSU rRNA". It matches the Rfam family "Bacterial small subunit ribosomal RNA", at positions 31 to 1079 of the family's 1533-position model. Lineage: Bacteria; Bacillati; Bacillota; Bacilli; Lactobacillales; Enterococcaceae. The record is from RNAcentral.